AAAAAAAAGUUUCUCUUCAAAACGCAUAAAUCUUUUACUAAAGAUUUCCGUGGGAAGGAACACUCAAUCAAGAAUUCUUAAUUGAACUCAAUGUUUGCCUGUUUGGUAUAAUUACAAAG
Melitaea cinxia (Glanville fritillary) is the source of this 119-nucleotide small nuclear RNA. RefSeq annotates it as U5 spliceosomal RNA. Lineage: Eukaryota; Metazoa; Arthropoda; Insecta; Lepidoptera; Nymphalidae. The transcript has a single exon. The record is from RefSeq and is a predicted model, not a curated record.